This 144-nucleotide unclassified non-coding RNA is filed under the name uncultured Lophodermium. Its description in RNAcentral is "sequence contains ITS2". The record is from RNAcentral. Lineage: Eukaryota; Fungi; Ascomycota; Leotiomycetes; Rhytismatales; Rhytismataceae.
CAACCCUCACGCCUAGCGUGGUAUUGGGCUCGCCCCUUGGGCCUGCCUUAAAGUCAGUGGCGGCGACACUAGAUCCCUAAGCGUAGUAAUACUCGCAGCUUUUGGGAGAUGGUGGUGGCCUGUCAGCAACCCCCCAAUUUUUAA